GAAUAUGUUGUGGUGUUUAUCUUAUGUUGAUUAUCGUAUGCGGAUUGUUUCUUUUCGAUAGAGUUCCGAACCGCUUCAGAGUGUGAGGAUUCGUUGGACUAUGUUGGUUCGUCUACUUCACGGAUUUGUUCUUCUUCCAAGCGGGAUCUCGAGCAAGAUGAUCAUUUCCCUAGAUAUCACUACUAUCAUUGUUAUGAUACUUGUCUAGUUUCUAUCGCUAUGUCUCGCUGCCCAUCACCCGUUAUGUCAAGCCUUCCAAUAUUACCAUGAAAAGCCUCUAACACC
RNAcentral lists this long non-coding RNA (285 nucleotides) under Hordeum vulgare. Its description in RNAcentral is "long non-coding RNA (HVUL_LNC018913)". Lineage: Eukaryota; Viridiplantae; Streptophyta; Magnoliopsida; Poales; Poaceae. The record is from RNAcentral.